RNAcentral lists this ribosomal RNA (408 nucleotides) under Triticum aestivum (bread wheat). Its description in RNAcentral is "partial small subunit ribosomal RNA". Lineage: Eukaryota; Viridiplantae; Streptophyta; Magnoliopsida; Poales; Poaceae. The record is from RNAcentral.
AUGGCUUCAGCCGCCGAACUCCAGAAACUCGAAGCCGAGCUCAAGGAACGCGAGUCCCUUCUCCGAACUCGCCAAGAAGAGCUUGACCGGCGCCUCGCCGAGUCAGGCAAAGCCCCAGCCACCACCCCAAACCCCUCCUCAUAUGUCGCUUCCCUCAAACCUAAUGUCGCCAUAACCCUAGACCUCCAUGAAUCCAACUACAUCAAGUGGUGCGAGCUGGUUCUCGUUGCCCUCGGUCGCUAUGGCCUCACCCACCAUGUCACCGGCGACGGCGCGGCCACACCAUCCGACACUUCGCCCACCUCUGAUUGGGCACGUGACGACUUCACUGUCCUUUCAUGGAUCUACGGCUCGAUCUCCCCCGAGCUCUUCGGCAUCAUCAUGGCACCUGGGUCUACGGCGCAGUAG